AGAAAUAAGGAUCAUUCUAGUACAAACCGUGCAGGGAACUGAGCUACUUCCAAGUUCUGGCCAUGUUGGAACGCGUCCAUCUCUUACUGGAGCUCUGAGUGGCCAAGCACGCCCAAACAUUCUUUUCCUAACAGGUAAAGGCCUAUCAGUUUCACCAAGUUUUCUGAAACUUGAAGGCAACCUACUGUCCUCAGACAAAACUUCUCUGACUUCUGGACUAUGGAAGCAGGGCUCGAGGAUAUCAUAGAUAUUUAGAUUAUCGAGUUCCUGAACAUGUAAUGAUAUGUUCACAUAUCAAGAAGUAGAAAGGAAAAAAAAAAAAAAAGUUGUCACUUGACAACAGAAGAUUAUUUACAUGAAAAGAAAAUCUUACCCAAUCAACUUUGCUUAGCAGGACCAGACAGUUGUUAUUGACUGGAUUCCAGUAGCUUCCAUUACAGGCAGAGUAGACCUCCUAUAAUUGCCAAUGCAGAAUAACAGCAUAAGUUAGGAGUUCCUGAUUUUCUUCAACAUCUUAUAAUGACUAAUUUGUUUCAAUAACAAAUUAUACUGCAAUCACAUCUUCAAAGAAUGUUACAUGACCAUUUUAUUUUGAAAAUCAAUUUACAUGACAUUCAAUCACAAAGAAUACCUGAAACAGAUCAUUUGAUAUUAAACCCAUUCCAUGUGCAAAUGGAACAAGAGCAUCACCAUCAAAAACGGUGUCACUGACUCCAUUCCCCACCAUAUAGCCCUGUGUAGAAUUGUACAAAUCAAACCAAGAAUUUAUAAGCCCCCACAAGUGGUUCCUGUACACCACCUUGCAACCUAAUUUUUGGUAAAAGAAAGCACCUCAUAAACAUACAUAUAGAUACAUAUAUAUACAUAUAUAUAUAUAUAUAUAUAUAUAUAUAUACUAGUAUAGUAACCCCUGCGAUGCGACGGGUAGAUAAUUAGAGGAAAAAAUAAAAAAUGACGACAAAGGAAGAGAANAAAUAUUCAUAAUUAUUUGAUUAAAUCUUUCAAAAUAACAUUAUAAGAAUUUAUUGGAACUAAAAAAACUGAAAUAAAUCCGUACCAAAGUGUGUCAGUAGGAGGUCAUGCAUAUUCAUCGGCACACAAGCGUACCAUGUGUCGGCACGGAAGCAUGCCGGUGCCGUACCGUGCCAAACAGGCAGCAGCACGCCCCCGUGCCACGGCACUUUAAACCUUGGGUUUUAGUUUCAAUGAGGUUUUACCAUAGAGAGGAUUUUGUUUUCUCUCAUAAUAUUCACUAACAGAUGAAACAAAAAAUUGUCUACUUACUUCGACCUCAAAAGAAUAAGAAAUAGAGUACGAACAGAAAUAAGGAUCAUUCUAGUACAAACCGUGCAGGGAACUGAGCUACUUCCAAGUUCUGGCCAUGUUGGAACGCGUCCAUCUCUUACUGGAGCUCUGAGUGGCCAAGCACGCCCAAACAUUCUUUUCCUAACAGGUAAAGGCCUAUCAGUUUCACCAAGUUUUCUGAAACUUGAAGGCAACCUACUGUCCUCAGACAAAACUUCUCUGACUUCUGGACUAUGGAAGCAGGGCUCGAGGAUAUCAUAGAUAUUUAGAUUAUCGAGUUC
RNAcentral lists this long non-coding RNA (1586 nucleotides) under Ananas comosus (pineapple). Its description in RNAcentral is "long non-coding RNA (ACOM_LNC026096)". Lineage: Eukaryota; Viridiplantae; Streptophyta; Magnoliopsida; Poales; Bromeliaceae. The record is from RNAcentral.